GACGAACGCUGGCGGCGUGCCUAAUACAUGCAAGUUGAGCGAUGAAGAUUGGUGCUUGCACCAAUUUGAAGAGCAGCGAACGGGUGAGUAACGCGUGGGGAAUCUGCCUUUGAGCGGGGGACAACAUUUGGAAACGAAUGCUAAUACCGCAUAACAACUUUAAACAUAAGUUUUAAGUUUGAAAGAUGCAAUUGCAUCACUCAAAGAUGAUCCCGCGUUGUAUUAGCUAGUUGGUGAGGUAAAGGCUCACCAAGGCGAUGAUACAUAGCCGACCUGAGAGGGUGAUCGGCCACAUUGGGACUGAGACACGGCCCAAACUCCUACGGGAGGCAGCAGUAGGGAAUCUUCGGCAAUGGACGAAAGUCUGAACGAGCAACGCCGCGUGAGUGAAGAAGGUUUUCGGAUCGUAAAACUCUGUUGGUAGAGAAGAACGUUGGUGAGAGUGGAAAGCUCAUCAAGUGACGGUAACUACCCAGAAAGGGACGGCUAACUACGUG
RNAcentral lists this ribosomal RNA (497 nucleotides) under uncultured bacterium. Its description in RNAcentral is "partial 16S ribosomal RNA". It matches the Rfam family "Bacterial small subunit ribosomal RNA", at positions 28 to 507 of the family's 1533-position model. The record is from RNAcentral.